This 308-nucleotide ribosomal RNA is filed under the name uncultured bacterium. RNAcentral's name for it is "partial 16S ribosomal RNA". It matches the Rfam family "Bacterial small subunit ribosomal RNA", at positions 505 to 807 of the family's 1533-position model. The record is from RNAcentral.
GAGACAUCAGCCGCCACGGGAAUACGUAGGGUGCAAGCGUUAAUCGGAAUUACUGGGCGUAAAGCGUGCGCAGGCGGUUAUAUAAGACAGAUGUGAAAUCCCCGGGCUCAACCUGGGAACUGCAUUUGUGACUGUAUAGCUAGAGUACGGCAGAGGGGGAUGGAAUUCCGCGUGUAGCAGUGAAAUGCGUAGAUAUGCGGAGGAACACCGAUGGCGAAGGCAAUCCCCUGGGCCUGUACUGACGCUCAUGCACGAAAGCGUGGGGAGCAAACAGGAUUAGAUACCCGAGUAGUCCCUGUCUCUUAUAC